CAGCAAUAUUAAACUCUUUAACAUUGAAGAUAAAGCCCACAUUGUAGUUCCCUUCCCCACAUUCUCAAACCCUGCGAACUCGUUGCUGGGGUGCUGCUGUGAUUCCAAAUUCCAGUAUGGCUGACUCACCAUAUUUUAAAGAGGAAGAAGAAGAAGAACAGAUUGAAGAAACAAAAUUUGGUAAUCAAUCUCUCUUCCUUAAUCUUAUUAUUUAUGUUUUGAUAGUUAAUUAUGCAAAUAGCAAGAUUAGAUAUGGUGGUUGGAUUCAAAAACUGCGUGAAUGUUUCUGAUUGCUGUAGGCUAUAGCAUUCCAGACUAUAAUUUAAUUUUAAGCUCUUGAGUCCUUCCUUGUUUGUCAUUAUCUUUGAUUCUUUUUUAUGUUGAUGAUUAAUGGUUUGAAAAAAGAAUGAUAGAUUUAUUUUCGUUGGAUCAAAAAAGGUCAGUUUCUUAUCACAUUUGAAAUUUUUUUUCUGAAUUUUUGAUCUCUCAAGAACUAAUUUUUUUAGUUAUUUAUUUUGAUUUUGAUUUCAGUUGAACGAAGCACUGAAGCAAACUUUCCAGGUUUGCCAUUUUUACUUCUGUGCUGUACUUUUAUUGAAUGAAGAAAAAAGGAAUUGAUCCUUUCGAAUUUUAGUUUGAUCCAAGUGCUUCAAGUGAUUGUUGACUUGGGUUUUUACUUGUAAAAGUUUCAGUACUUGUUUCUUAUCGUACAUGUAAAAGUCUCAGUACUUUCCAUUAUUUAUGCAAGCUUUGUUUGAUUUGUUGGAAGUUGGGUUGGAUAUAGUCCGAUUCGGUUCAAUUCUUGUUAGAAUCAAACGAACUCGAAAUUCUCGGGUAUUUAAUAAGUG
RNAcentral lists this long non-coding RNA (848 nucleotides) under Olea europaea subsp. europaea. Lineage: Eukaryota; Viridiplantae; Streptophyta; Magnoliopsida; Lamiales; Oleaceae. The record is from RNAcentral.